CUGGUCCUCUAGGCAACCCGGGCUCCGACGCCCUGGGUAACAGCCACCUCCGAAUCCCUGGGGCACAGGCGGCCCCGCCCCAAACAGCCAGGAAUCUCCCUGAACUUUGUUCCUGAGCCGCCUUUGUCCUGCGCCUAGCAUUCAGGGAGGCUGUCUGGUCGCCCCAUGUGACUCGGGUUCGUCUACCCUGCCUUUACGUGACCUUGAUCCUCUCCGUAGAAAUGGGCGCUGCCUUAGAAUUCCUGCGGAGACUUCAGAGAAGACUUUCCAGGGAACUGAGAAGGGGUAUUCCCCUGCCGCCCCGCGGCUUCCUGCUCCACUCUCAGCCUUCUUCCCCACUCCUCUCUCAUUAACUCUCAGAUUGGCUCGAAGAAGCAGCUACAGGUGAAUCCUAACCAGCGCCACGGGAACGCCCCACCCUCUUCAGAGAUGCCUCCUGCUCUUUCCCGAGGGACUAUUUCUGCAAAUUCAGAGCCUCGGGCUUUUGAAAAAGAAGGAUAUUUAACGCCCCUCCCCAAUACCGCGGAAUUGUACCCCAACCCUGAUCUUGCUCAUAAUACCAGCCUCCUCUUUAUUCUUCCCUUCCCCCAAAUAAUGAUAGUUCUUGCCUUCUGUACCCUACCAUGGUAAGGAGUUCAGUCUGUGAGCAAUAGGGGUCCAUAGAAGGCUCUUGAGCCAGGAAGGGCACAGUUAUGAUUAAGGUUGCGUUAUAAAGAUGAUUCUGGGAAAGGCAGAGGCAAGAAGCGAGAAGACUAUUCCAGCAGUCUAGACUAGAUGGGGUGGGAGUUCUCACCAAGGCAGCCCACUCCAACUGGGCCUAAUAGUGGCACCAAUGAUGGUGUCAGAGGCUUUCCUCCUUGAUCCUCAAAUAUCUGGGCUCUAAAUACCUUUCUGACAGCUUAUACAUUUGUAAUUCAUUUUGAACAUUGACCAUGUGCCAAACACUGUGCUAGAUGCUUUAUAUAUGGUAACUCUUAAUCCUCCUAAUGACCUUAGGAACUAAAUAUCAUUACUAUCCCCAGUUUGCAAAGAGGUUAGACCACUUAGUCAAGGUCACCCAGCAGGAAGUGGCAGAGCAAGUCUAGGUGACACAGUAGCUUUUGUUCUGGCACAGAGGAACUGGCAUUCAAGCCAGGUUUAUCAACUGGAAAUCACCCAUGCAAGCCCCAAAUUCCAGCCAAAUGGAUGAGUUUGCCCCAACUUGAGCUGAUCUUCUACUUGCUCUUCUCUACCAGGAACUCUCUCCCUCAUAGCUUCCCUCUAGUGAAGUUCUCUGUCUUUCAAGGUCAGCCUCAGUGUCUGCCUUCUCCAGGCGGACUCUGUUUACCCUGGCCCAGAGUGAUGCUCUUGUUCCCCAACUGUCUGUUUCAACUACUCCUUUGGCACCCAGCAUAGCUGGCCUUGUUUUAUAUUUCUCUCCUCUUGCUCUUCUGACAUGUCAAUUAAACUAUAAACUUUGGUGAGUAUAUCAUA
Molecule: non-coding RNA, 1473 nt
Organism: Ictidomys tridecemlineatus (thirteen-lined ground squirrel)
Lineage: Eukaryota; Metazoa; Chordata; Mammalia; Rodentia; Sciuridae
Source: RefSeq, a predicted model, not a curated record